GAGGGUAUAGCUCAGUGGUAGAGUACCUGCUUAGCAUGCACAAGGUCCUGGGUUCAAUCCCCAAUACUACCA
This 72-nucleotide transfer RNA is filed under the name Camelus bactrianus (Bactrian camel). It matches the Rfam family "tRNA". From Rfam's summary of the family: Transfer RNA (tRNA) molecules are approximately 80 nucleotides in length. RNAcentral also lists the same sequence under 2 other names. Lineage: Eukaryota; Metazoa; Chordata; Mammalia; Artiodactyla; Camelidae. The record is from Rfam by way of RNAcentral.